UUUCCGUAGGUGAACCUGCGGAAGGAUCAUUAAAAAAUUGGACUCCAUUGGUGAGUUCAUUAAUAAUCCCUACCCUUUGUGAAUUUGUUUGUUUGAAUAAUUUUUUUUCCAAAAAAAAUUAUUGAAUGUCUUUCCUUGUUUUGGUGGAGCUUGUAAAGUGAAACCAGGCAGGGGAAUGGCAAACAAUAAUUAUUUUUGAAAAAGACCUUUUUUUAAAAUUAAACUUUUUGUAUUCAUUUGUCUAAAAUUAAUUUUUAUAAUAUAAAAACAACUUUUGACAAUGGAUCUCUUGGUUCUCGCAACGAUGAAGAACGCAGCAAAAUGCGAUAAGUAGUGUGAAUUGCAGAAUACGUGAAUCAUCGAAUCUUCGAACGCAUAUUGCACUUUUUUAGUUUACUAAAAAAGUAUGUCUGUUUGAGUAUCAGUAAAAUAUUCUCAUAAAAAACAUUGUUUUUUUUAUGGUUAUGAGUGUUUUACAACGAUAACAAGUUGUUUCACUUUAAAUUCUUUGUUAUCAAAAAAAUCAUUAAAAGCUAAUUUUAAAGAUUUUUUAAAAUUGGAUAAAAUUUUCCCGUAAAAAGGAAUAACCUAAACAAUUUUAAAAAAUUAAAAUUGGUUUGAUUUUUUUUGAAACCCAAAGGAAAAAAAAACGAAAUUAACUUGAUCUCAAAUCAGAUAAGAGUACCCGCUGAACUUAAGCAUAUCAAUAAGCGGAGGAAAAGAAACUAACUAGGAUUCCCUCAGUAACGGCGAGUGAAGCGGGAAGAGCUCAAAUUCGAAAUCUUCAAGGUUUUACCUUGACGAAUUGUAGUUUAAAGAAGUGUUUUCUGUUGGAGUUUUGGUAAAAGUUCUUUGGAAAAGGACAUCAUAGAGGGUGAGAAUCCCGUAUUUGACCAUUAUCUCCAGCUUUGUGAUACACUUUCAAAGAGUCGGAUUGUUUGGGAAUGCAGUCCAAAAUGGGUGGUAAAUUUCAUCUAAAGCUAAAUACUGGCGAGAGACCGAUAGCGAACAAGUACCGUGAGGGAAAGAUGAAAAGAACUUUGAAAAGAGAGUUAAACAGUACGUGGAACUGUCAAAAGGGAAGCGUUUGACACCAGUGUUGUUUUCUCGAAAAUCAAUUAAAAAAGGCCGGAUUUUGUGUUGUAUUGACUUUAUCAGCUUUCUGCACUCUUUUCUUGUCUUUUUUAAUGCACUUUUCGUUUAACAAGUCAACACCAAUUUCUUUUGUUGUAAAAGGGUCAUUGGAAGGUGGCUUUCUUUUCGGAGAAAGUGUUUAUAGCCUUUGGCCUCUGCAAUCGGAGAGAUUGAGGUCUGCAGCGUAGAUCCUUCGGGGUUAGAUACAUUUGGGCUAAGUUAUAGCCUUUCAUAGACAACUUGUUGACUAUGAUCAGUCAUGUAGCUUACUCGCUUAUGCUAUUAUACCUACGCUUAGGAUGUUG
RNAcentral lists this unclassified non-coding RNA (1439 nucleotides) under uncultured Neocallimastigales. RNAcentral describes it as "partial contains small subunit ribosomal RNA, internal transcribed spacer 1, 5.8S ribosomal RNA, internal transcribed spacer 2, and large subunit ribosomal RNA". The stretch from base 662 to 1439 matches the Rfam family "Eukaryotic large subunit ribosomal RNA", at positions 1 to 628 of the family's 3401-position model. The record is from RNAcentral. Lineage: Eukaryota; Fungi; Neocallimastigomycota; Neocallimastigomycetes; Neocallimastigales.